CCCCUUUCUUUCUUUCAUUCAGAAAGAAAUCACAGAAGCUCAGCCAAAAACCCCUAGCACUGUAGGCCUACACCACCGCCGCAAGGAGUGGCAUAUUGCCGCCGUCCGUUAAGUUCGCCAUCCGUCCGUCCGUCCGUCCAAGUCUUCAACCCCUGUUCGCUGUCACCGAUCGCAGCUGCUUCCUCGAGCUUUGGCGUCCGUCGUCUUUGUCUGCUCAGCCGCGCUUCCGCCGCCGUUUGUUUGCCGUUCACGUUCUCCUCUUCGUUCAGCCGUCGUCUACCUUCGCGUUCUUCGCCGUUCACGUUCGCUCGGCGUUCACCGUUCGCGUUCACUCGCUGUUCACCGUUCGAGUUAGCAUUCGCGUUCGUCUGGAAGCCACGUUGCACUGCUUCAAACUCUGCGCCGAACUGCAUUCGCGUUCGUCGAACUGCUCUCUUUUGUCGCCGCCACAUGGAAGACAGCAGCAGCAAUGGUGGUAGCGGGAAACGUGAGGAAAUUGUGGACGUUGGGUCGGUCGUUGAAGCUGUUACUGCAGAGGAAGGUGAUGCUCCCCUCUACAACGUUGAGAGCCUCUGCAUGCGUUGCGGUGAAAAUGGGAUUACAAGAUUCUUACUCACCUUAAUUCCUCACUUCAGAAAGAUUUUGUUGUCAGCUUUUGAGUGUCCUCAUUGUGGUGAGAGGAACAAUGAAGUACAGUUUGCUGGAGAAAUUCAACCGCGUGGUUGCUCUUACACUCUGCAGAUCCCAUCUGACAAUCCAAAGAUGCUUGACAGACAAGUGGUAAAAUCAGAAUCUGCUACAAUUAAGAUUCCAGAAUUGGAUUUUGAGAUUCCACCAGAGGCUCAGCGUGGUAGUCUUUCAACGGUGGAAGGCAUACUAAUGCGAGCUGCUGAUGAGCUUCAGGCCCUUCAAGAGGAGCGCAGGAAAGUGUCUCCAGAGACAGCUGAAGCCAUUGAUCAGUUCUUGGUGAAAUUGCGAGCCUGUGCUACUGGAGAGUCAGCUUUCACAUUUAUUCUUGAUGAUCCUGCUGGAAACAGCUUUGUUGAAAAUCCGUUUGCGCCAUCAUCUGAUCCAUCAUUGACUAUCAAGUUUUAUGACCGAACACCUGAGCAACAAGCAUUGUUGGGAUAUCUUGUUGAUUCUACACAGAUUGAAGGAACUCGCAACGAAGCACAAGCAGGGGGAAAUGCUGUGGUUACUGAUCAAGUGAGGGGAGAGCCACAUGGAUCUGUGGGGGCAACUGCUGGUCAUCGAGCCAUUGCACAGAGUAAUAGUUCAGAAAUUGCGGAAGCCUUAUUUCGAUACACUGCACCGGAAGAGGUGAUGACUUUCCCUUCAACUUGUGGUGCAUGUGCCACUAAGUGUGAGACUAGAAUGUUUGUCACCAAUAUUCCAUACUUUCAAGAAGUAAUCGUAAUGGCAUCCACAUGUGACUCUUGUGGCUACCGCAACUCCGAGUUAAAACCAGGUGGACGAAUUUCUGAAAAAGGCAAAAGAAUUUCACUUCAUGUGAAAAAUGUUAACGACUUAAAUCGCGAUGUAAUCAAGUCUGAUACUGCAAGUGUAAAAAUUCCUGAACUUGAAUUGGAAUUGGCAAGUGGCACCCUUGGGGGUUUGGUUUCAACUGUUGAAGGUUUGAUUACAAAAAUUAACGAAAGCCUUCAGAGGGUCCAUGGAUUUACUUUCGGUGAUAGUUUGGAUGUUUAUAAAAUAGGAAUAAUUUUCUCGUAGCAUAUAUUCUCGCAGAGUAACAGUUGCUUUCCUCAUUCCUCUCAUGGUGGAGCACAAAACUUGCUAUUUUCUGUUCCCAGGGAACAAGCAUUCUACUUUUGAGCUCCAACAGAGUUCAGAUGCUUUCUAAAAUAUCAGUGCUUAAUAAGCAGUUGCUGUCAUACAAUCAGUAGAUUCCUAUCCUUGAAGGACUUUUACCUAAUGGCAUCUUUUUGUUUAUAUUUUUGUGUGUGCAGCUUCUUAGCUUGGAAAAACCUUGGACUUUAAUUCUUGAUGAUGCAUUAGCCAAUUCCUUUAUAGCACCUGCAACUGAUGAUUUAAAAGACGACAAUCAAUUAACGUUUGAGGAGUAUGAGAGGUCAUGGGAGCAAAAUGAAGAAUUAGGCUUGAAUGAUAUGGAUACUUCUGCUGCCGAUGUUGCUUACGAAUCAGCAAAUAAUACUAAAGUUGAAUGAACACUGUAAACCGCCUCCUCUCCUCUCGUCCUGGUGGCUGCCGGAACCACCCUAAUUAAUUGAAGAGGAGAUGGAAGAAUUGAUGUGCCAGAUGAAGAAAACCAAAAAAGGAAGAAAAAUUGGUUCUUUGAUCCUCAUGUACUAGCGCUUUUUUAUUAUUUUUUUUUUUGAAAAAAAAAUGCAUGCAAUCUUGCUAUUUUUCAUACUUUUGAUAUAAUGUUUUGAGAGAUAACCUUUAUAUAAAUUUGGUAAGCAUUUCUGGUGUUGUUUUAAGAGUUUAAUUUUGAUGUAGUGACUUUAAAAUGUUUUAGGAUCAUGUAAUUAUAUCUAGUUAUUUUUUUAUGAUUGUUCACGCGGUCAAUAUAAAAAGAAGUUCUUUUUGUUGAGGUGACGUUA
Molecule: RNA transcript, 2582 nt
Organism: Arachis duranensis
Lineage: Eukaryota; Viridiplantae; Streptophyta; Magnoliopsida; Fabales; Fabaceae
Exons: 16
Source: RefSeq, a predicted model, not a curated record